Molecule: ribosomal RNA, 210 nt
Filed under: Triticum aestivum (bread wheat)
Lineage: Eukaryota; Viridiplantae; Streptophyta; Magnoliopsida; Poales; Poaceae
Description: partial small subunit ribosomal RNA
Source: RNAcentral
AUGAAGAACAAGAUCAACACGCAGGAAGACUACAAACUGUGGGGGACAAGCGAGCUGCCAGAAAACCUCAUCGAGUACGCAGGAGUAGAUGCGUACGCCACGUAUAAGUCAUGGUUCAUGAUCGACUACAUCACAGAUGGUUCGGAAUUUGCGAAAGAGCGGGAGGCUAACAACUUCUACGACCACCCCUAUUGCCCCUUUAUGGGAUGA